AGCUUCGGCAGAUCUAGCUUGUUUCUAGUGGCGGACGGGUGAGUAACGCGUGGGUAACCUGCCUCACACUGGGGGAUAACAGUCAGAAAUGGCUGCUAAUACCGCAUAAGCGCACAGCAUCGCAUGAUGCAGUGUGAAAAACUCCGGUGGUGUGAGAUGGACCCGCGUUGGAUUAGCUAGUUGGCAGGGCAGCGGCCUACCAAGGCGACGAUCCAUAGCCGGCCUGAGAGGGUGAACGGCCACAUUGGGACUGAGACACGGCCCAGACUCCUACGGGAGGCAGCAGUGGGGAAUAUUGCACAAUGGGGGAAACCCUGAUGCAGCGACGCCGCGUGAAGGAAGAAGUAUCUCGGUAUGUAAACUUCUAUCAGCAGGGAAGAAAAUGACGGUACCUGACUAAGAAGCCCCGGCUAACUACGUGCCAGCAGCCGCGGUAAUACGUAGGGGGCAAGCGUUAUCCGGAUUUACUGGGUGUAAAGGGAGCGUAGACGGUGUUGCAAGUCUGAUGUGAAAGGCGGGGGCUCAACCCCUGGACUGCAUUGGAAACUGUGAUACUCGAGUGCCGGAGAGGUAAGCGGAAUUCCUAGUGUAGCGGUGAAAUGCGUAGAUAUUAGGAGGAACACCAGUGGCGAAGGCGGCUUACUGGACGGUAACUGACGUU
RNAcentral lists this ribosomal RNA (661 nucleotides) under uncultured Lachnospiraceae bacterium. RNAcentral's name for it is "bacterial SSU rRNA". It matches the Rfam family "Bacterial small subunit ribosomal RNA", at positions 75 to 747 of the family's 1533-position model. The record is from RNAcentral. Lineage: Bacteria; Bacillati; Bacillota; Clostridia; Lachnospirales; Lachnospiraceae.